GUUAGCUGUGAUACUCUAGUACCUUUCCCAGACCUGAAGAAAUGCUCUGUGGUAGCUCAAAAGCUUGUCUCUCUUGCCAACACAAGUUGGUCCAAUAAAAGAUAUUACCUCACCCACCUUAUCUCAGAUGGAAAUGGACAUUUUCUGCCAUAGUUAUUCGGGCAUCCAAAAGCACUGAGGAGCCCAAAAGUAUCCUAAGACAAUCUGAAGACAGUUGCCCUCAAUAGGGGAAUAUUCUAAUAGAGGCAAGUACUUUAGCAUACUUCCCUUUUCCUACCAGCCUCGUCUCACUUUGGUUCAGCUUUAGCCAGCUAUUCUUCAUCUAGGUGCUGAUUUCAACCAAGUAUUGAGUAAGCUUGGAGACGUUACUGUUUGCAUUCGACAUAAAGGGGAUAUAGAGAUGGCUAUUUUUGUACUGCUGACAUUUCAGCCCAAGUUGUCUCACCAACUCUUUUAACAGUUUCAUAUUGAUAUGAUUGAUAAAGGAGUGGAGAGAAGAUCAAGCCUUGUGGAACUCUCCAGGUGAAGAUUUUUGGAGGUAGAGGAACAGUGUCCCAUAAUAAUCCUCUGGGUUUGGUUUGAGAGGAAGAAUCUGAGCUCUCCUAGGAGUGUCUGUUCCCACUACAGCUUCUUGGAGAUGGGACAGGAAUCUUUUGUGAUGAGCCGGUAUUAGAUACCCGAGACCGGUCCCUCAGCAUUAUGGAUAUACUUCCCUUGUCCACAACCAGGUAAUCUUCCAGUGCAAAAAGUUCUCUCUCUUCACCGGGUCCUGGCUAAGAGGGAUCAAGGAUACUGGCAUAUGACAGGUAACACUGGAAACUGUCCGACUAGCUACUAGAUUAGUUUGCUUAGGCGAAGGGGGCUUAGACACUGUGAAGUCUUUGGUGUCAAGCAGUGGUUUAUUCUAAUGUUGGUUGGCAUGUUGCCUGGGUUAGGGUGCAUGUUAGAUUUCUCUAAUCAAAGGAGGUAUUGACAAUCUGAUAGUAGGAAUCUCAGAUGUUCCCAUAUCUCUUCCUAUCCAGGAAGGACAGGAGUUGGAGUCACAGGUGGGCAGUGAGCUGAUUGUCAGUGCUUCCAUGAAGCUCUGUGGAAGAAGGGCGAGUGUAUCUGGUCCUGCUCUUGACCUUGUUGCUCACCCAGGUGGUCUUCCUGGAUGAGGUUGAUCUUCUCUGUGAAAUAAGGUCAGACGGCAUUUUUUUCUGCUCCUCUGGGAAGACUUUUCUAUCUGGUGGCUUAUAGAUGAAUAGGAUGCCCUGGUGUGUGGUAGGCCUAAUUGACAGUGUUGCCAUUCUUAUGAUGUACCAGAUGUCUAGAAAAUGGACUGCUCAACUCCCCAGGUGAGUGAGGUAAUAAUAUCUUUUAUGGGACUGACACAGUUGCAACAACAUGGCAUACAACUCCCCAAGGGUCAGAGUUAAAGUGAAUUGUUAGAUAUAGCUUGUAAAUCAGUAGGAAAAACACUUUGGGAUUCUCUGGGAUGAAAGGUGCUCUCUAAAUGUAAGAGAAAUGUCCUGAGAGGUCUCAGUCUUGCCCCUUCAUAGCUGUGCCAGAACCCUGUGCUUUGCUGAAUGGUAGAAGCUCCCCCUGCAGCUGUGAAAUCUGAGUCCUGCCUAUUUGCUGCUCAUCUGAAACAUCAUCACUGUUAGAAAUUCUUUCGCUAAAUAAAAUUACAGGAAGUGGGAAGUCUUGAAAUGAAACCAGACUUAAGAUUUCCUACAGAGGUGUCUGCACCCUGUGUGUGUGAGCCUUUCACUGUGUCAGUGGUGGUUCCUGUUUUAGGGGAUAUUACAUAUGACAUGACAUGGCAUGGUUUGUAGCAGGAUACUGAGUUGUACGGUCUGAGUUUCCUUGUGGGUAAAAUAUUUGCAAAUGCUGACAUUUCUUCCAUGACUGCCUUGUGGUGAUUCUCCAAGAUAGCAAAUUCUAAACUGGAUGUCCACAAUAAAAAAAACCCCCCCUUUUUUUUUUUUUGCAGACAAUUGGGGGGCUUUCCCCAGCAAAAAACAAGAGCCAACUUGUUCAGUUUUAGUUAUCUAUUGCUCCAGGAUAAACACUCUGUUUUGGCUUUUCUGUUAUGACUCAUGUAGAAAGCCACAAAAUGAAAACGUCCCCCUGCACAUGGGGGUUCAUAGUUUGAAAAUGUUUCUCUGAUAGUAAGAAAGUCUCCACUUCCAAAGCAAAGGUUGCAGGGGCUUAAGCUGUUUAGACAUCUGUAGGGGAGCUGAAUUUUCAGUUACUAAGAUGGCUAAGAACAGCCGGCUUGUUGCGCUAGUGACCUGUGUGUGUCAGUCAUGCCAUCCCUCUGUUUCUCCUGUCAUGUUUAUUCUGUGAUUGCCAGAGGUAGGAAUGUGAAAGACCCCUGUGCACCCCGUAGGGUGUUCUACUCAUCCCCUACUGGGGAGCUGGGAUUUUAUUACAUUUGGAGCCAUUGCUUUGGACUUGAAGUGCAUCAUUGCUGCUGGGACAAUUUUAAAAGGGAAGGCUCUUUAAGCUACUAUAAUCCCAGUGACAAACCAGAGAGCCCAUACUAAUGGCUGAUCUGAAACUCCAGCAUUUGCAGACUUUUCCUCUGGUUUUUCUCCUUUGCUCUCUCUUGGCACUUUGGGAGGGUGCUGAAAUCCUGCGUCCUGGCUCUGCACUGCACCUCCAUACAUUCAAACCUUCAGGUAUAAAUCUCUACUCAGCAAGUAUUGUCAUAAACCACAUGCAAAACACACUCUCCUGACAGGCCAA
Long non-coding RNA from Dermochelys coriacea (leatherback sea turtle), 2733 nucleotides. RefSeq lists it as uncharacterized. NCBI's taxonomy places the organism in Eukaryota, Metazoa, Chordata, Testudines, Dermochelyidae. The record is from RefSeq and is a predicted model, not a curated record. The transcript is spliced from 3 exons.